CCUUCCCCCAUCCGUUACAGACCUAAAAAUAGCUCGUCCCAGAGGGGCCGGGAGAGGCUCCACCUCUUCUUGAGGUUGGGCGGGGCGGCUGUAGUAGGAGCUGGAGGCACCAGAGACCCCAGGCCACUAGCUGACCGGCGCACGGAGGAGCUCUCUGUCCGCGGCCCCGCAGGUUGGCGGCACUGGAGUGGGCCGGGCAGGCUCUGCCUCCGCCGCAGAGGGCGCCCGGGCUGCGGGGGGCUGGGGAAGCAUCCCGGGAACGGCGGGCGGUGAGCAUUCGGGGAACCAUCUCUGGGCUGUCUGGCGCGGUGGAGCAAGUCUGGAGGCGGGACGUGGAGCGAGUAGGGGAGCCGCCACCUCGAGACGUCUUCCCGCCGCCCGCGGCUCCAGGAGACCCCACGGACGCAAGCUGUGGAGCUGAGUCGGGUUCAGACAAGCCCUGCUGAAAUACCUGGAGAAUUUAGAAUCCCCAACAUUAACCCUGUCGUGAUUUGCUGUAAACUCUGUCAGCGCUUGCACUUUGGUCAAGAAAACUCAGGCCUUCUCUCAGCUCCUUGGUCUACUGCCGUGGCCUUGGUGCCACCCUCCUCUGGUGGUCGGCUCAGGGCUUCCUCUGCCCAUGCAGUCCCAAGCUGCCACUGCUGAGGGCCUCAGUGGCCCCCUCUUUGGGGCCUACACGUUCCCCACCUUCAAGUUUCAGCCUCGCCAUGAUAGCAUGGACUGGAGACGCAUUAGCACCCUGGAUGUAGACCGCGUGGCCCGGGAGCUGGAUGUGGCCACACUGCAGGAGAACAUUGCUGGCAUCACCUUCUGCAACUUGGACCGGGAGGUGUGCAGCCGCUGUGGGCAGCCUGUGGACCCGGCACUGCUCAAGGUGCUGCGCCUGGCGCAGCUCAUCAUUGAGUACCUGCUGCACUGCCAGGAUUGCCUGAGUGCCAGCAUUGCCCAGCUGGAGGCACGGCUGCAGACCAGCCUGGGCCAGCAGCAGCGUGGUCAGCAGGAGCUGGGCCGCCAGGCUGACGAGCUCAAGGGUGUGCGGGAGGAGAGCCGCCGGCGUCGCAAGAUGAUCAGCACCCUGCAGCAGCUGCUAAUGCAGACAGGCACCCACAGCUACCACACGUGCCACCUGUGUGACAAGACAUUCAUGAAUGCCACCUUUCUCCGGGGCCACAUCCAGCGCAGGCAUGCAGGCGUGGCAGAAGGUGGAAAACAGAAGAAACAGGAACAGCCAGUGGAAGAGGUGUUAGAAGAGCUACGGGCCAAGCUAAAGUGGACCCAAGGGGAGCUGGAAGCCCAGAGGGAGGCGGAGAGGCAGCGGCAGCUCCAGGCUGAGAGAAGUGAAGAAGCUGCAGAAGAACAGUUGAAAGCUGAAAGAGGUUGGUUCAUAGGUUUAAGGAAAGAAGCCAUCUCCAUAACAAUGAAAGUGCAAUGUGAAGCAGCAAGUGCUAAUGUAGAAGCUGCAGCAAGUUAUCUUGAAGAUCUAGCUAAGGAAGCAGAGCUCAUUCAUCAGAGGGAAAUAGAAGCUAAGAAAGAAUUUGAUAAAUGGAAAGAACAAGAGUGGACCAAACUUUAUGGGGAAAUAGAUAAACUAAAAAAAUUAUUUUGGGAUGAAUUUAAAAAUGUCGCCAAGCAGAACUCUACACUAGAAGAGAAACUGCGGGCACUGCAGUCCCACAGUGUGAUGGAGUCCAACCUGGGAUCACUGCGAGAUGAGGAGUCAGAGGAGUGGCUCCGGCAGGCACGGGAGCUUCAGGCCCUGAGAGAGAAGACAGAAAUUCAGAAAACGGAGUGGAAAAGAAAAGUGAAGGAACUGCAUGAAGAGCACAUGGCUGAGAAGAGAGAGCUACAGGAGGAGAACCAGAGGCUCCAGGCCUCCCUGUCUCAGGAUCAGAAGAAGGCAGCUGCCCAGUCCCAGUGCCAGAUCAGCGCCCUCCAUGCCCAGCUGCAGGAACAAGCUAGGAUCAUUGCCUCCCAGGAGGAGAUGAUCCAGUCCUUGUCUCUCAGGAAGGUGGAAGGGAUCCACAAGGUGCCAAAGCCUGCGGACACAGAGGAGGACUCUCCGGAAGAAGAGAUGGAAGACUCCCAGGAUGAACAGCACAAGUUGCUGGCAGCUCUGAGGCAUAACCCCACUUUGCUGAAGCACUUCAGACCAAUCCUGGAGGACACCCUGGAAGAGAAGCUCGAAAGCAUGGGGAUAAGGAAGGAUGCAAAGGGAAUCUCGAUUCAGACUCUCAGACACCUGGAAUCCCUGCUGAGAGUCCAGCGGGAGCAGAAGGCCCGGAAGUUUUCUGAAUUUCUGAGUCUGAGGGGAAAGCUUGUCAAGGAAGUCACCAGCAGAGCGAAGGAGAGACAGGAGAAUGGCGCUGUGGUGUCCCAGCCAGACGGGCAGCCUUCAGUCAAAAGCCAACAGAGCACAGUGGUCACCAGAGAGGCCCAGCCAAAGACCAGGACCCUGCAGGUGGCCUUGCCAUCCACACGGGCAGAGCCACCCCCACCAACUCGUCAGAGCCAUGGCAGCCAUGGCUCCAGCCUGACCCAGGUGUCCGCCCCCGCUCCACGCCCCAGAGUGCAUGGACCCUUCAGCACCCCUCCUUCCUCGGGGCCCUGGAUGAGCACGCCUCCGUUCAGUUCUGAAGAGGACUCAGAGGGAGACCGUGUGCAGCGUGUGUCUCUGCAGCCCCCGAAAGUUCCUUCCAGGAUGGUGCCCCGGCCCGAGGAUGACUGGGACUGGUCUGACACAGAGACCUCAGAGGAGAAUGCCCAGCCCCCUGGCCAGGGCUCAGGAACACUGGUGCAGUCGAUGGUCAAAAACCUGGAGAAGCAGCUAGAAGCUCCGGCAAAGAAGCCUGCUGGAGGGGUCAGUCUGUUUUUUAUGCCCAAUGCUGGGCCACAGAGCGCUGCCAUACCAGGAAGGAAGCCUCAGAAUUUUAUAUUGGCUAUUUUUCAAAUUUGAAAUUACAUCACAUUCUUGUGAGGCCAUCCCAAUCUCUACAUAUGGAUGAAUGCGUGGAAUGCUCUGACAGGCCUUAACCCCCACAUUCCUAGAAUGUGAUUUCUUUCAAUGUUGACAUACCCCUGCCUUCCACACACAGCCACCUGCAGGCCGGCUAGGCAAAAGGCCUGUGGAUGGAGUGAGAAGAGCAAGAUAUGUCCAUUGUGCAAGGCAUGCCCAAACGUUUUCCACCAUGGCUUAAAACUGAAGCUGGAGAGCAUGAUGUCACCAUGUCAGCUGGAGGCAAGAAAGGACAUUGGUUGGAAGGGACCACUGGUGUUGCAGAACAACAGUCUUGAAGGCUUUCGGAGGCUAUGGCUGAGACCACCCCCAGAGGCCUGCUUCAUAUGUGGCAUGAAGCCCUUGAGGUGUGGGGAGACUGCCUUGGGAGUCAGAGCUGGGCACGCACAAGGUGAACGAUGCCUGCUGUCAUUGGAUGUCAUAGACCUGAGGCAGCACUGUGAACAGAACAUGGAAGGGUGAGAGUGGAUGCAUGGGUCCACACAUGUGACAAUGGGCUUUUGAUAGCCCAGAGUUAUGAACUUAUUCUGUGAAAAGUGUGAGUGAGAAUCACCCUAAGUCAGAACUUCAGCACCAUUUUAGGUGCCCAUACCCUAGGAUGCACAUCCUGGGAUUCGUACUCUGGGAUCCACACCUUGGGAUCUCACCCUGGUAAGCCUACCUCCCCUUUGUCUUUCUCAAGCCACAAGUGAGUGGUGCUGCCACAGGGUUCUCCAUCUAAGGCACGUCUACCUGGGGUAUCAAUUUUAUUUGAAUAUCUGAGGGGAUAAAAGUUAAGCAUUUUAACUGGUAAAUAACUUUAACCUUAAACAGUUACAACAGAUAUAGAUAUAUUUUGGAGCAGAAUGCAACAUGCACAAUACUUCAUACUUAGAGCUGUCCACUUGAGUCCUGGCUCUGAUGGCCUUGCAAGGACAUAGGCUAUUUCCUCUAUGUAUUUUUUUAAAAAUUUAUUAUCAUUAUUAACAUAUAAUUCAUAUAACAUAACUUCAGCACGUUAAGGUAUACAAUUCAGUAGUUUUCAAUAUAUUCAUAAUGUUGUGCAACUAUCCCCACUGUUCCCCUGUGUUUAAGGUGUCCUUUCAUGGAAAGGUUCAGGAAGUGCUGCCUGCCGAUGCCACUCUGCCUCCAGAGUGGAAUUUGCAGCAUCAGUGACAGGAGAUAGGGAAAAACUUUUAUUAGAGGAGGACUGGGUGUCAUGGGGCUGCAUUUUCAGCUCCUAUCAAGUCCUUCCACGUAGGCAACUCUCCUUCUUUCUAUUUGAGAGGCAGACCAUUGCUUCGUGUGAGAGCUUGAGUAUUCAUGCUGUGCUGUGUGGAUUAUCACCCGAAGAAACAAGGAUGGAGUUUUCCUGCCAUCGACAUCACUGACUCACAAAAGACAGCUUAGAAACUGUGAAGACUCCUGAGAGACUAGAAGGGGCUGGAUUUGCUUUUAAUCAGGUUUCAAUGCAGAGACGGGUGUCCUGUCAAUUCCCUUAUUCAGAGACACAUUUUUUGUGGCAUUAAUAAACAAAGUCAGCAUUCCCUGGAGACCAACAAAAGCCUGAUCCAAUGUGAGUUUGUGCCUUUCUGUAAAGAUUUGUGGUGGGAUUCCAGGCGGUAUAAAUAAUGGUCUUCUACUCACUGCAGAUACCUUGGCUAUUCCUGGGGGCCAGAUCCUUGGUUAUGUUUUUGUUUUAAAUCACAUUUUAUGCAAAUUCACAGGCAGGCUCAAACAAUGGCGAGUCCUCUUGUCAUUCCUGGCCAGUAGCUCAGCUGAAUGAAGAUUCAGGAGUAGAAAAGAAGUCUCUGAACUUGCCUCUGCUUUGAGAUUUUCUUAUCUUGCAGAUUCUCCUGAGAUUUUUGCGACAACCAUAUACCUUCUCAAAGCCAUAUAGCAAAGUCUUGCUAGCUUAGAUCCUAAAUUUCAUAAUACACACCCAUUGCAAGUUCCAAGAAUUCACUGUAUCAGAAAAUAGCUCCUGCCUCUUUGAGAAAUGGUAAUUUUUUACGUAGCUCUGAAUAACAUAGCUAUUCUUCAUAGACCACAUACUGUGUGCUAGAUGCUUUAUGCAUUAUCUUUAAUCCUCACAACAACCUUGCAAAAUAGGUAUUAGCCUCUGUUGACUAGGCUGCUGAGGCUAAGACAGGUUAGUAACUGGCCUGCUUUCACACACUGGGCUAGGAAGUGCCCUGCCUCAAAAUUUCCCAAGACACCCUCCCCAGCCUGUGAACCAUACUUCUCAAUUGGUCUCAUGUCAGGAGAGUUGAAACAUGGGCUUCGAGUCAGACAGACAUGAUUCAGAUCCUAGCACCAGUAACUACUAGAUGAAUGACUGGGCAAGUCAUGUAACCUCCCCAAGCCUCAGUUUCCUCAGCUGUAACUGUGAUACAGAUGCUUUGGGAGGUAGUUAUGGGAAUGGAAUGAGAUAAAUGCUUCCAAGUCCCCAGAAUGGCAUUAGCACAUUGCAUAGCCGACCAGAAUCUCGACAAAUGAUCCUUCUCUUUUCUUCCUUAUUCAUCUUUAUACCUGUUGUGGCACCUGGCACAAAAUAGGUACUCAAAGAAAUAUUUGUGGAAGUAAAUUCAAAGGAUUCUCCAUGACCUUGUUUCAUACAGACAUCAUGAAGUGGGACCCUCUCCAAAAGCUCCCUGGAAGAACAAAAGAAGUUUUGAAGCAUGUCAAAGCUACUCAUGGUUACAAUCUUUAGGAUGAGGCAGACAGACAAAAAUAAUGCUAAAAAUAACAAUAGCACUAACAUUCUGAAGUAAAAUUUACUAGGUGGAGUGCUGUUGCUCUUCAAGGAACAGCAGUAGUUGAGGAUUGUCAAGUACCCUGAAGCACAAGGGACAAUAAAUGUGACAAGAACAGCUCCUGGGUUUGGGGGAUUAUUCAACAACGAUUAGAUUGGUUAGAGAGAGUGCACUUUUGUAUGUGUGUCCUUGCUUAAGAGUAGAGAAAAUAAAAUAUAAGAUUUUUGAAUAUUUAACAUGGGGUGUUAGAGUGAAUGCAUUUUCACUGAUGCAGGGAGUGUUUGGCCGAGGUCCAUCUCAGAAAGGAAUUCAAGAGGGCAAACAUGUGGCAUGUGUACUGCUGGUUCCCAGUCAGUCCUGUGACAGGCAUUGCCAAUUGAUCAUGACAAUCUUCCAUUCCUGAGUCCUCCUCAGCAUAGUCAGUUGGAAUUGGCCUGAGUUGGCAUUUAAGAUCAAACAAUUUGUCGUCCCUGGCUCCAAAAAGGAACACUUGUAUGCAUUUAGUACCUGAGAUUCAAAGACUCCCUCCUCAGGAGGCUUCCUUUGGUCUCCUGACAUGGCCAGGUCAUGGCACCAAAGCUACUAGCACCUUUCACUAUGCCACAGAGAUUUUAGUGAAAUAGCCAUAUAUAUAUAUAACUUUUUUAAACUACUUUUUGCAAUGUGUAUGCCCUGGAACUCAGACAUGAGUCUAUGCACACUAGCUUAGAGGGCAAUAGAAGUAUCCCUCAUCCCUACUCAAACUUGUUCUUUUUCACUUUUCUUCUCAUGAGUUGGGACUUCCCAGGACGUUGUUCAUUCCUUAUGUUUUCUGAGUCCACAAAACCCACAUGACACAUUGGAUAUUUCUGUGGGAGUUGGACCUACACAUGAUCUUUAAUGGAGGCCUGGCCUGGAUGUCCAUGUUUUGAUUCAGAUGCAUUGGCUUUAAGUAAUAGUAAAUCCCAACUGAAAUUGACUUAAGCAAUAAAGAAACUUACUACACAUAAGGCCGGGCGCGGUGGCUCAAGUCUGUAAUCCCAGCACUUUGGGAGGCCGAGGUGAGUGAAUCACCUGAGGUCAGGAGUUUGAGACCUGCCUGGCCAACAUGGUGAAACCCCGUCUCUACUAAAAAUACAAAAAUUAGCUGGGCGUGGUGGCAUGUGCCUGUAUUCCCAACUGCUUGGGAAGCUGAGGCAGGAGAAUGGCUUGAACCCAGAAGGUGGAGGAUGCAGUGAGCCGAGAUCACGUCACUGCACUCCGGCCUGGGUGGCAGAGCGAGACUCUGACUCAAAAAAAAAAAAAAAAACAAAAAAAAACUUACCACACAUUAUAAAAAGUUCAGAGGCAGGGUGUUGUCAGGUGAGGAACAUAAAGUAGAGCUCUGGCUCCAUUUCCCUAGGCUUCUUUUGUUCUACCUUCAUCCAUGUUGGUUCAUCUUUGGGCUGCAGUAUUCCAAUGUAUCACAUGUAGUCAUGAGAAUGCUUAGAUGGAGGAAGAAGGUGUGCACGUGUGUGUGUGUGUGUGUGUGUGUAUGUUUCCAAGGAUGGAGCUGCCUCUUUUGUUGUCUGUUCAUUAAGAGUGAAGAAGUUUUCCCUUCAAUGAAGAAGUGCUGGAAUCUUUCCUUUUUGAACCACUAGUCAAAACUGGGUCAUGUGCUCUUACAAAACUCACCAUAAUCUUGCCAUAUGAUGUAGCCAUCAUGCUCCUUGGUAUUUACACAAAGGAAUUGAAAACUUACCUCCACACAAAAUCCCACACAUAGAUGUUUAUAGCAGAUUUGUUCUUAGCUGCCAAAACUUGGAAGCAACCAAGAUGUCCUUCAGUAGGCGAGUGGAUAAAGAAUUGUAUUACAUCCAGACAAUGGAAUGCUAUUCAGUACUAAAGAGAAAUGAGUUAUCAAGCCAUGAAAAGACAUGAAGAAAUCGUAAAUGCAUAUUAUGAACUGGAAGUAGCUAGUCUGAAAAGGCUACAUACGGUAUGAUCCCUCCUAUAUGACAUUCUGGGAAAGGCAAAACUACGGAGACAGUAAAAAGAUCAGUGGUUGCCAGGGGUUGGGGAAAAGGCAGAGCAUAGAAGAUUUUUAUGGCAAUGAAGCCACUCUGUAUGAUACUACAAUGGUGGAUAUGUGUCAUCACACAUUUGUUGAAACCCAUGGAAUGUACAGCAACAAGAGCGAAUCCUGUCAACUCUGGUGAUAAUGAUGUGUCAAUGUAGGUUCAUCGGUUGUAACAAAGGUACCACUCUGUGGGGGAUGUUGAAAAUGGGGGAGUCUAUGCACCUGUGUGUAUGUGAGGAAUCUCUGUACCUUCCUUUCAAUUUUGCUGUAAGCUUAAACUGCUUUAAAAAAAUAAAGACUUAGAAAGAAACUGGGUCAUGUGCUCCAUCCCCUAAACCACUCACUGGUAAGGGGAAUGGGACACCAUGACUUAGGCAAAUCAGAAUAUACCCCUUGAGCCGAGGAUAGUGCCACAGGAGGGAGGGGUUGAUUUACAAUAUUAAUAAGAAAAAAGUGAUAGUGAUGGUGGAAUGGAUGUUGAGUAGGCAAGCCAACAGUUCUUGCUUCACAGGGAAAGAGCUGAUUGGAUCAGAGGUGGACUCUUGAGAGAGGGGAUCUCUCUUCAGAGAGGGGUGGCAGACAUUUCAUUGGCUAGUGGUCAAUCAGAUUUUCUCUCUUGAGAGAAUUUAAACUAAGAGAAACAUAGACUUUGCUUAGGCAGUAGUAGAAGCUUGAAUUAGAAGUUCACACAGAAUUGGAUCUGGGUGGGGCAACCGUUGUUAGUUGAUGAGUAAGCACUUGGCAGGGACAGCCAAAAUCUUGGAGUGGGUUUUCUGUUCCUUGCAUAUGAAAAUACUUGACCAGGGUAUUCAUAGAUGUAUGCAUCUUAGGGUGAGCAUAGCUUACAUUUAAUCUGGGCCCUCUUCCCACCCAGUAUAUGCAUCUUUGCAGUUCUCAAACUAAUGAAGCCAUUUCUGAUGGGUAAAUAACACUAAAACUAAGAUGAUGACUGCUAUUCAAGGCCCACCUGCUCUUGAGUGUCUGGAUAGAAUCCUCAGUGACAUUUGCAUGAGAUUCCCCACCUAAUAAGGUCAACAGGAUCUCCAGUUCCUUAGGUCUGACCCCUUUUUGCUAGGAGAAUCCUGAGUGGCUUACACAUUAAGAUCAUGAUGACAGCUGGAAUUUCCAGUAUCUUCUAUGCUGGUCCCAUGAAGGCUUUGAUCACAGUUGCUGUUGCUACUCUUUAUCUUGCCCUUACUUUGGAAUGAUGAUUUAGCUGGGUGUAAAAUUCUAGCUUGACAGUUGUCUUCCUUCUGAUCUUCGAAGAAAUGAUUACAAAGUCUUCUGUCAUUUUUUUGGUACUGAUGUCAGUCUCAUUGCCAUGGAUAUGUAAUACAUAUUUUUUUUCGUAUUUUAAGAUGUUCUUUUUAUUGUUGAUAUUCUCCAUUUUCACUAGAGUGUAGCUAAGCAUGGUUUAAUACUUCUCAGGAGACAGAGUGUUUUCAAUACUGGAACAUAUGUCUUCAAGUCUGGAGACAUUUCCUCUCCUUAUUCUGACUAUUCUCCUUUCUUGGAACCUGAAUUAAAUGCAUGUUAUGAAGUUCCCCAUCCUGUGUGUCAUGUCUCCAAAGCCUCUUCAGUCAUCGUAUCUCUUUCCUUUUCAUAUUGGGUCAUUUCUUUGACUUGCUCUCCUCAGUCACUAUUGCUGUGUCUAGUCCACUAUUUAACUUAUCUGUGUUUCUUGUAUCAGUGUCUAUAUUUUAGAUUUCCAGCAUUUUUAUUUGGUUUAUUUUAAAAUCCCACAUGUUCCUCCAUCCCCCCACCACACGAUUCUUUAUGUUUUUGGACAUUUUACAUACGCUUAUUUUACAGUCUCUUUUAGAUUUUUCUAUUAGCUAUAGAUAUUGAGAUGGGAUUUCUCUUGGUUAUUACAUUGGGUGGUUUUCUCAUCAUUUUUUUUUUUUUUUCACAUGCUGUCUAAUUCUUGAUAGUGAGCUUAUCUUUAGUGAGAGGUGUUUUUGUAUGGGGAGCUCGUGCAUGUCCUGGGGUGUGGAUGCAUCCAUAAGGAGUGCCUACUAUGGGACUCAACAGUUUCACCUACUGCAGGCUAGUUUUUUCCUUUAUUUCUUUAAUUUUUAAAAAAUUUGCUACAUGGUUCAUAGAUGUUAUAUUUUAACAGCAAAGUUUCUUCAUGUUUUUGUAAAAUAGAUAUUUAAUACAUAUUUGUUGACUAAGUGAAUACAACUGAAUCUUGAAAAUAUAUUAAAUGUAUGAAACCCAAUUUGGAGAACAAUAACUGAACAGUUCUACUGUUCACAGAAAGAAGAGCUAGCUUCUAUGAAGAAAAAAAGAGUGUUAAGGGGUUGCACGUAAGUGGAGGUGACUCAUGUUCAGCCUGUUUUUGGAGCUUCCAUUCCGUUGAAACAUGAAUCAAGGCAGAGCAGAAGAACUGAAGGGCAGUCAGCUACAGGAUCUCACAACAGUGUCUUUACGCUCAUUGUCUAUCCCAUCCUACUCUGCAAACCGUACCCUCACUAGCUGCUCUGGGAUUAAAUUGUCCACUGCAGGGGUCAUAAUAAUUUCCUUGGGAGAAUCUGGCCUAAAGACAGCUGCUUUGGAAAAGAUUUUUCUUUCACAUCCUGGAGGAAAAUAUGCCUGAAGGAAGACUAGAGUUGAACUAUUUGCCAUCAAUGAUGAUGACUAAUUGAUAACUCUGUAAUCCUUUUUAAAAAAUAGGUUUUAGAUGAUUAAAUGUAAACAGAGUAGUCUUAGUUUCAUUUCUUUUAAAAUCUUAUCUCUGUACAACUUUCAUAUAUAUACACAGUUUCCCUGUUAACAUCCUAGUGUGAAAAAGUUAUUUUAGCAGAUAUUUUAAGUCAAUCAACUCGAUGUACUGGGCAUAAAAUUACAUUUUUUGCUGUUAUUCUUCCAGGAGUCUAGAAGUUUCUCAUUUUUUAGCACAUUCUGAUUGAGAACCAAGGAUUAUGAAAUUUCCUUUAUUCUUACCAAUACUCAAUUCAUCCAUAAACACACAACAAAGAGACACACAUAUCACACAAAAUAUUCAAUGUUAGCACACAUAAAAAGAGAGAUCAAAACAUAAAAACAAAUGUCUAACAAACUGAUAGAUUGGUGAGAAAUAUGAAGUGAAAGUCAUCUUUUUUUUUUUUUUUUUUUUUUUUUUAGAAGAUACUACCUCCUAGUAUGAGGCAAGACAUUCAGAGAAUGACCAUUGAUGAAUUCUUUGUCAUUGGUACUGGCUUUGCUUAUUAUCUGGAGACCCGCUGAGAAAUGCCUUUGACAUAUGGUGAUUGUGAGGGAAUUCUCAUCCUGAAACUUUUCAUGUCUAUAUUAAAUAUGUACAAAGUAACAUUUUCAAAAGUAUUUUUUCAAUUCAGUUUACAAAGUUAAGAUUUUCCUGCUUUAGUAUUGGAUUUAGAGACUGCCAAGACUUAGCUAUUGCUGUUACCUACUUAAUUCUACUGUCUUUCCUCUUUGUACGUAUGGCAAUAUGUGCUUCUAUAGGUGGAUUCACACUCCCAGUUAUGUGAGGCAAUAGGAAUGCUGACAGCUGCCCAGAACUGCUGUGAUGGUGGAAGGUGAGGUGCAGUGCCUGACUGCCUCAAAUUCUCAGGCUUUGAGUCUUGCAUUACAUCUAGUGAUAUCCAGUGUCCUAUUCAACAAGGUCUAUUUCUGAUGCUCUUUAUGUCUUCCUGCAGAUCCUAGUUUUCAUCUAGUAUCAUUUUCCCUCAGAUUGAAGAACUCUUUUAGCAUUCUUUUUAAUAGUGAAGAUUUUCUGGCAAUGAAUCUUCAUGGUUUCCUUUUAUCUGCAAACUAUAUUUUGCCUUCAUUCUUGAAGUGUAUUUGUACAUUUUUUUUCUGUCAGCCCCUAAAAAAUACCACUGUCUUCUGGCCUCAAUUAUUUUUCUUUUGAUAUUAUCCUGCAAGUCCCUGAGGUUCUGUUUUUGCUAAAACUUUUUUCUCUAUUUUUGGAUAAAUUCUAAUGAUCUAUCUUCAAGUUAACUGAUGAUUUCCUCUGUUACCUCCACUUUGCUAAGUUCAUACGUUUUUAAAUUUCAGAUUUUGUAUUUUUAGUUUCAGAAGUUCUGUUUUCAAGAAUAGUUUCCAUUUCUUUGUGAGAUUUCUUGUCUUUUUAGUCAUUAUUAGCAUAUUUUCUUUUAUGUAUUUGAGCAUAGUUACAAUAGUUGCUUUACAAAUCCUCAUCUGCUAAUUCCAAUGUCUGGGUUAUCUUGGGGUCAGGUCUCCAUUGAUUACCUUUUCUCUUAAAAAUAGGUCAUGUCAUGCACAUGUCAGAUAGUUUUGGAUUGCGUCCUGGGUAUUGUGAAUAUUAUGUUUCAGAGACUCUAGAUGCUCUUAUAGUCUUCCAAAGAGUAUUGAUUUUUUUUGUUUGCUGGAGAAGACAAUUAAUUUGCUUCUACUCAUACAGCAAACUUCGUGUCUUGGGGACAUCUCAAGUCUCCAUUCAGCUUUGGAUCCUAAGUCAGCUGUUUGUAGUAAGCCCUAUACUUGCAUGGCUUAGGGUUUAAUUAGAGACUCAGGGAGGGAUUUUUAUAGAAAACUUGGAUCUUCUCCCUCUGAGUCUCUUUUUUCUAAGAUUCUUUGCUCACCUUAUAGUGGCUAUAGUUGCCCUGAACUCUGUCUCAUGGUUCUUCAGGCCAGAGAAACUGCAGAUUUUCUAACAGAUUUUAGGUACUUCAUGCCACCUGACUUUGGCUUGUCCUUGGGCCAGAAGCCUCAAAAACGGGAAUUUGCUUUAUACCUUUCCUCUCUUUUAAAUGUCAACUACCCUUCAGAAUAUGUCCGUCUUUGUUCACCCUCUAGUGGCUUCAAGUAGUUACUUUUUGUAUUUUGUACAGAGUUUAUAUUUGUUAUCUGCAGGAGGGUUAGCCUGGUGGGAGCUUACUAAGCCAUACUGGAAGCUGAGUUCCUCCUGCCUAGUUUUUGUGUUAAUUUCUGUGGAGUUUUGGCGUGUUACCAAAGAGGCCAUGAAGGUCAUUUGAUGCCAACCCUCCAAUAAAUUCCUUAUUGGGUUCUCUCUGCUCCAUUGGCUGUACCUUUCUGCAGAUGGAUGGGGUGUGGCCCGUCUGCACAAAAGCUACUGGUGGGCGGGUUCUGCCAGCUGUCAUAAGAAGACAUAGUCACAUUUGUUCACUGCUGACUUUUAAAUUAUCUCUAUCUACAUUCUGACUCCUCCGCCCCUCAACAUUUUUUUUUUUUUUUGCGGCUGGACAUUUUUGUUUUUCUUACUCUCUCUUAAUUAUGACUUAAUUCUUAAGACUUGGGCAAACACUUCCAGUAUCAUAAGGGGCUUGCUGCCUGGUGGGGCAGCCUGUGCCCCACUGUGAUACUUUAUUCACCCUUCAGCCAGACUUCAUCCUCCUUACCAGAGGCAUUGCCGUGGCAACCUCCCUCCUCUGGGCAAUAAGUAUGGGCGGCAAAGUCCUACAUGCUUAAUAUGUUUGAUAUUUUACCUUUCAAAACAUUCUUUGGGGAAAUUCAAGUUGGCCUGUCAAACAAAAUAAAUAAGCUUUUUAUUGUCAACAAGGGCUAAGGGCAGCAGCUUUGAUAACAGGGAAAGCUUGGACUGGUCAAAAACUCGAAACCAGAGUGAGCAGGUCACAUCUAGUUCCACUUGAGAUGAGAAAGGAAUGGGAAACCUCUCAGUGCUGAUGGAAACUGACUCAGAUCCCAGAUGCUGCUGGGGAAGCUCUAGCCUAAGGUGGCUGCUGGGAUGAAGUGAGCCCUGGUCCAAACCCAACCUUGUAAUGUUUGUGUAGCUGUCACCACUGGAGGGAACAGGUAUUUCUCCUACAGACAGUCCACCUUGGGAGUGCUGGGGCUUUCCUUUCCCUUCUGGGUGGCAUCACACCAGAGUCCUCUUUAGCCUGGAAGCCCUUAAGAGUGCACAUAUGUCACAGAACCCACUGAGAGCUUUGCAGAGGCUGAGGGACCGGGUAGCCCAAUGUCCUCCCCCAUCUCUGCCAUCUGUCUAUGCACUAGUUACAGAGACAGGCUUUUAUUGGGCAUUAUUUAAAAUUUGAGUGUUAAAAAUUAAAAAUUUACAAUAAAUUAAGUAUUACGCUUCUUGGCUUCAUUGGCAAAUAUUUUUUUCUUUAAACUAGAUUUAUAUGAAUUUCUCCCUAUCUUUCUUUAUUUUUCUCAUUUGUGUUUUUCUUCCUUUUCUCUGUCUCUCUCUCUCCCUUUUUUUCUUCCUUCCAUUUAAAAAAAUGUAGUUAUGAAUUUAUUUUGCCCAUUUAAUGGGAUUUUUCUCUGGCAUAUUGGAAACAAAGUGAGGUGUGGAGUCAGACAAACCUGGUUGGAAUCCACGCUUUUCUAUUUAUUAGCUAUGUAGACUUGGCAUAGCUGUCCCGGUUUGUUCAGGCUGAGAGGUUUUCUGGAACACAGGACUUUCAGUGCUGAACCUGGGACAGUCCUGGACAAACUGGGAUGGUUGGUCACCUUACUUGGACAAGAUACUUAGCCUCCCUGAGUCUCGGUUUCUUCACCUGUGAGCUGGGGAUAAUAAUACCUGUCUCAUGGGGGCUAUUUUGAGGGUUGGAAAUAGUGUAAGAAAAGGGCCUGAAACUAUGUCUGUGACAUUGUAGAUUCUCAAUAAUCAUAAUGAUAAUGACAGCAAUAUUAACAUUAAUAAUCAUCUGUAUUUUUUAAAGGCUCAGAGAGAUUUUUUUCUGCCAUCAAUGCUUUUCUCUUUUUUCCUAAUGUCUUUUCAAGGAGAAAAAGUUUAUUUUGUUUUCUUCAUUUUUAUGUAAGCCUGGGUAUUAUGGUUUGAAUGUUUGUCCCCUCCAAAACUCAUGUUGAAACCUAAUUCCCAAUGUGGAAAUAAUGAGGAGUGGGGCCUCUAAGAGGUGAUUGGGUCAUGAGAACUUCACUGUCAUGAAUGGAUUAAUCCAUUCAUAGAUUAAGAGACCAGUGAGUUAAUGGAUUAGUGGGUUAUCACAGGAGUGGUACUGGUAGCUUUAUAAGAAGAAGAGAGACUUGAGCUAGCACACUUGGCUCCCUCACCACAUGAUGCCCUGAACUCUUUUGGGACUCUGCAGAGAUCCCCAUCAGCAAGAAGGGCCUCACCAGAUGCAGCCCCUUGACCCUGGACUUCCCAGCCUUCAGAAUUGUAAAAAAAUAUAUUUCAUUUCUUUAUAAAUUACCCAGUUUCAGGUAUUCUAUGAUAAGAAACACAAAAUGACUAAGAAACUGGGUUUCUGAAGCUUUGCUAUGUCCAACUAAAAAACAAUAGCUGCUGAAUUUUCCCUGAUGUCUAACAUCUCUGAGUAGAAUCCAGUGAUAACACAUGGUUGAGAUUAUCUUUUAGAAACCUUGAAAAAUUCAUCAAGGACCCAAAAGUCUUCUUUAGAGAUAGGCUGCUCUGUGCAUAGCUCAUACAGAGCCCCUUCCUUAUCAGAUGCAGGUCUGAUGAGUUCCAGGUGUUAAAUAUUUGGGGACUCAGGGUCUGUUCUGGACAUUUCCCCACACAGGUGGAUCUGGUUGGCUCAGACCACCUGCCAACAUUAGGCCACCCAUCCUGAAGCAAGCCCAUCCUGCUCUUUCUGGAUGGCCCUUCUAGUCAGGAAAAGGAAUUGGAAACAGAAGGCCAAUGGUUGGGAGGAGAUGAGGUCUGUGUGUUCUUGUGGAGCAAGCAAGAGGCUAGCCUGGUAUGGACUCUAGUGUUUGUUCUGGCUCCCCUGAUAUGCCUGUGCAAAGGCCUUGAGCAUGUCAUUUCUCCUUUCUGGUCCUUGUUCACAACAGAGGUAUGGGCCUCGGCUUUCCCGUCUUCAGAGGUGAGUAGAAGUGAGUAAAUGGGGAAAUGAUUGCCAAUUGCCAAAGAGUCUCUAAAGGGGAAGAAAAGCUAAAGCAAAAUAGUGUGAGAUCAGUUUCUGGGCUCAUGACCAUUUUAAUUUAUUGGUUCAGAGUGAACAGAGAACUCUACUCAGCCAUGACUUAAUAACUUCCUCCUUCCAAGCUGCCUGAGAUGGUCAUGUCUCCAGGUAAUGAGCUAUAUCUGCUCCUGUGGACUUCAUGUCUGGGUGUUGUUUUCUAUUUUUUAAUUCUUCAGUUUUUAGUUUUUUUUCUCUAGAUAUAAAAUAAAGCUAUUCUCAUUGAAGAAAAUUUGCAAAGUACUGUAAAGUACAAAUAAAAAAAUAUCAUAAUUAUAUCUCCAAUCAGAAGCAACUGCUUAAAAUAUUUUGGAAUAUAUUUCUUUCAGGGUGUUUUUCAAUGCACCGUUUAAUAGACUUAAUGUUAGAAAAAUACUAUAAUAAUUUUAAUGACUAUAUAAUUGUUUACUUAUAUAUAAAGACUAUUAGAAAUCUUUCCCUCAUUAGGUUUUUAGGUUGAUCCAGUUACAUUAUUUUAAACAAUUGAUAUAUACCUUUGAGCAUAAGUAUUUAUGAUUAUUUCCUUAGGAGAAAUUUAAAGAAGGAGCAUUGCUGGAUUAAAGAAGAAAUAUUUCCAGCUUUCUUCCAUAUUACAUAUGAUUCUACCUUUAUGUUACCCUAAAAUCUAAGUUAAAAGAUAGGACAAAAUAUAAUGUUUUCUAUGUAAGGAAUUUGUAUGAUCCUUGGUCUGCAAGUAGGACCCACCCACUCCUUGAAGUUUCUCUGAAGAAGAAGAAUUCUAUGCUUUCUUUUAGCUACACACUGUGGCAGGGGUGACUGAGAUUUCAUCUUAUUUGGUUAUUAGGGAGUAGCUGCAUUUAGUAUUGAAUAUUGUGGUGGUGUGGAUACUCAAAACCAUCACUGAUAGACGAUUUUGGGGUAUCUAAAUUAAAUACCCUUACUCCAGAAUAGAAUUUGGACAUAUUUAAAGCAUUUUAGUGACGUUUUGUCUCUACAAUAUAUUAUAGUGUCUUACAUAUUGAAUAUUAAUAUAGUAUCUUACAUAGUGAAUAUUAAACCACAAGAAACUUUUUGCUUAUCGUCAUCUCUUAAGGGCCUCACGUGCUCAUUUCACAUUUAUUUGGGCUAUUAUGAAGAGAAUACCCCCUUCCCUUUCUAGCUGUGGGUUGGGAAGUAUGAAAAAUCAGCCUGACUUUAGCUGAAGGAAUGGAAUUGUUCAAAAGCCGUUCUGAGGCAUAUGCAAAUACUUAAGAGUAGAAAAAUCAAAGAAGUGACGGUCCCUGAUGAGGCUCUGAAAAUUGAACCAACUGUGUGGUAAAUGUGUGUAUGUAUGAGUGUGAGUGUGUGUGUGAUCCUUGAGUGUUUAGAGUGUUGGGCCACUAGUGGGGUGAGAUCAGCGUUGUUGGAGGGUUAAAGUUUAUAAAGCACUAGGCACAGUACUGAUUAUUAUGAGGACUCAGUACAGAAGUUAGUUAGAUAAUGAAAAUAUAUUAGUGAAUAAUUGUAAUCAAUCCUGAAGGUCACAUAAUUGGUUGGCAAUGCAGUCAGAACCAGAAAUCCAGGUUUUUGAUUCCAAGCCCAGUGCUCUCUCCAGUAGAACACGUCAACUCAGAGAUAUCAGGCAUUUUGGCAAAAACUGUGGCUGUUGCAGUAGUCAACCAUGGAUAACGUCCUGUGGAGGCAGGAGAGGGCUGGAUACUACCUAAGCAAAAGGUAAGAGAACUGGGGACUCCCGGAGAUUUUUAUGGGUAACACUGCUGAGUCAUAUUUUGAGCCUGUAUUCCAUGGCUUGGUUCGUCCAUUUCUGUCUUUGUACAAGGAGACUUCAAAAUGCCCCUAAAUUUUAGAAAAUUUAAAUUUGAAUAGCUCAAAAUUACAUAACCAAGGACAGCUUUUUACUGAUGACUUUUGUAAUCUCACUUGUUUAAAACUGAAUGUAAAGUGUUUUGUUUUUGUCUUUUUUUUUUUUUUUAAUUUUUAGGUUUUAAUUAUCAGCUUUCUUUGAGAACCAGAGUAAUCUCUCAGAUCCUUCCUUGCUGUACUAUAUACUGUUUGGUAACUAGUCAAAAAGGCUCAGAAGUUAUAUCUCUGAAGCUUUCUCUGGAGUUCAGUUUCAACCAAAAGAAGAAAAAAAUCAGGCAAAGCAAUGAGUUUGCCUGAUUUCUAAGGACCCUGGGUCCUUAGAAUACAAGUCUUCAUGGCAUAUGACAAAUCUCCAUGUUUUGACUGGGGGACCCAGUCUAGUCACCAAACUAGAUACCACUGCUCUGGCUACAGGAAGAGGUUUAGGGAUGGGUACAUUACUCAAAUAAUCUAAUGUAUUUUGUUAGGGUUUUUCUCCUAUGGAUAGAAGGAAAGAGAUGCCUCCCUUUGGCUAGGUUUCCCAUAGCUGAAACAUGGCUUUAUGGCUAGAAAUAUAAGCAGCCAACACAACAACUCACAAUCUUCUUGAGAAGCAAACCAACAGAGAAGAAAGCAGAACUGAGAUAUGGGCAGAGAAAAAUAGAGUCUUAAUCAUAACCCUUGAUUCAGCUGUGUCUGAAGUCAACCCUGGCCUCAGAUCCCCCAGUUACAUAAGCAUUGCCCUCUUUGUCUUAAAGUUGUACAGCUUGGUUUUCUGUCACUUAAGUGGGUCCUUUACUUGUAUUAUUCCAUUAUCCUUAUCAUCCCUAUUUUACAGAUAAGGAAAUGGAGACUCAGAAAGUUUAAGGGCUUUGCUCAAGCUAACAUAGCUGGGAAGUUGUAUGACCUGGAUUUGAGGUUGGGCUGUUCUGACUAUAUAGCUUUUGCUGCUUUUGUAGCUUGGAUACAGCCUCAGUUUAUUGAGCUGGUCAACCCAACUUUGGCAGCAUCAAGAGGGCAGGCAUUGGCUCUCUUGUUUUACUGGCCCACAAACAGGACAAUGACAUUAGACACUUCGGGCUGGUGUGCUUAGGGUUAGACAGGCUAAACUGGAUCCUUGGACCCCAUGCUGCAUGCCUGGUUGCUCUGGGAACUCCUUUUCAUUAAGGCUUCCCAACUUGCAGAAACCACAGUCUGGUCUGGACCAACACCUAGCUCUAGGUAGCUAGGCUGCUGCUGAGCAGAAAUGGAUUCUGAAAGCAGAAAAACUCCCAGGAAGAAGCAUCCAGCGUUGAGGUGCUGGGACUUCCCACCUCCACUUCCCAAAACAUAAGAAAAAAGAGCAGAAGCUCUUCAACUGUAGGAUAACAGUGUUUUUAAUAUUUAAGUAACAAAACAUUCAGGUUAACACUCAAUGCAUAUACAAUAAGAUAGAGCAACAACAACAAAAUUACAAAGCACAAUCUAACUAUAUGGAGGCUUUCAAACAAUUAAGUGUUGGAUAGAGAAUGUGCUAAUUAAAAACCCAGCUGAGCCACACAGCACUGCCUGAGACCUGACCAGAGACUUUCUGGUGGUAGGAGGGAGAGCUCAUUGUGCCCUGUGGCCUUCAACUCAAAUGGAUGCUCUUCAACUCAAAUGCAGAGAGCACUUAACAAUCUCCAUGCUCUAGAUUGCCCAACCCUCCUCUUUGCUUUUCUUUUUUCUUUAGUUGACUUGUCUGCUCAUCCUUUACCCAAACUGAGGCAGUGAGUUCCACAGACACUUUCUCUGGUUUGGUUUAAAUGUUGCUGUCUCAGUGAGUAGGGCCUCUGAGCUCACUGCUCUGACUCUUGAACACAACUUGUUAUUAUUUAAUGGGGCAUAAUCUGUUCUUUCCGCAGACAUAGUCUGUUCAGCCUGAAGAUCCUUAUGAGUAUUCACCAAUCCCCUUGGAGGUCACUUUCAUAUGUACUAUUGAUGUGAGGACUUUACUCUCAAAUAAUAACCUAAUGGCCAAGUUCCCCUGCACCAAUGCUGCUGUGGGUAGUUUUUAGAGACUGCUCUUACCUCAGUUUCCUAGGGGGCCUAUCUGGCUUUGGUACUGGGAUGGAAUGCUACUGUCCUGGAAGGAAUUUAGACUUUCCGCUCAAAAGGGCAGUGAUGUAAGCUCAGGGAAGGUGUGUGGUUACAAAGAGCUUUCAGUUUUGCCCAAAUAUCUGAUGGUCCAACCACUCUAGGUGAAUUCAGAGAAGGGAACAGCUCUCAGAGUAACAAAACUGACCACCAGCCAGUUGUGAUGGCGCACACCUGUAGCCCAGCUACUUGGGACGCCAGGGUAGGAGAAUUGCUUGAGUGCAGGAGUUUGAGGUCAGCCUGGAAAGUGAGACCCCAUCUCUAAACAAAGCAAAACAAAACAAAACCGACCACAGUGUCAGGAAAGUGCUAUUGCCAGCUGGCAGUGGCUCGUAACCGUGCAAAUGUGGGUAUGUGUCACUUGGAAACAUUACAUUUAAUUCAGGCUCAACUUUUUUUUUUUUUUUUUUUUAAAAAAAAGAAUUGGUUUUAACCUACUUCCUAGGACUUGCUGUGUUCCAUUAUUUAUUUUUUAUUUUUUAGACAGGAUCUCGCUAUGUCACCUGGCUGGAGUGCAGUGGUAUGAUCAUGGGUCACUGCAGCCCCAACCUCCCUGGGCUCAAGUGAUCCUCCCACCUCAGCCUCCUGGAAUGCUGGGACUACAGGUGUUCGCCACCAUGACUGGCUGCUUUUUUCUCUAUAUUUUGUAGAGACAGGGUUUCUCCAUGUUGCCCAGGCUGGUCUUGAACUUCUGGGCUCAAGUGAUCCUUCCUCCUCAGCCUCCCAAAGUGCUAGGAUUACAGGCGUGAGCCACUGUGCCCAGACAUUAUUUAUUUUUUACAUGGCUUACACUUAUUAUCAUGUAUAAUCAGAGCCAUAGAGGCCUCAAAGGGAAAGAAUUAGGAUCAGUGAGCUUUUCAUGGAAUUUGUACUUAAGCAUGACUUUACAAAGUACCAUAUAGACAAUGUCAAAGCAAUUAUUUUUUCAUUUCCUUCUAUCCACAUGUAGGGGUGAGGCUAAUUCACAGAGAUAGUGUAUCAUUUUACUAAAACAUUAUUUAACUAUAUUUAGGACUUAAAUUUAAAAAAAAUAAUUUUCUCAUUCAUCUAGGGACAAUUUCUGACCCACGACAGAAAGAGGACUCCAGUGGAGAGCUCAGGAAACUCCUAGGAUGGUCUUGCUGGAAUAAGAAGAUGCCAACAGCAGUAGAAAGGUUUGGUUGCCUCAAACUGAAAAUUACUUUGGUUUGGUAACUUUUAAGAUCACAGUGUAAGAAAACCAAGAUCAUGGGCUGGAGAGAUUACAAAUAUCUUUAUCUUAUUGCUUCUUCUUCAGUGUUUAUUACUAGCCAAGCUGGGGGUGGGGAGACAAAAGCCAAAUAGCAGAAAAUAGUGUCUUUGGAUCUACUCUGUUUUUCCUUUCAAAAGUUUUCUUGGGGAUAAGCUGGGAAAUAGAUCAUCAAUGGGUUUAUUGACUAGGAGGAAGAGGGGGAGUCUGUCUAAAUCAUCAAAAUGUGAGAGAGAGAUUAAAACCACAUUCUCUCAUCAGAGUAGAAAGUUAUAUUUAAAAAAAGAAAUACAGGAUUGAAAAUGUGAGCUGUAGCCUCUAAUUCAUAAAUAACUCAGCUGUUUUAUGAUGGAAUAUUUAGAGACAGAGACAUGAGGCUAAAACCAUUCGGCCUCUCCCAAGAUGAAAUCAAGGCUUUUCUAACUUCCAGCUGUGAGUCAAAAGCAAUAAGAAAUCAAGAUGGAAUCUCCUUGUUUUUUGGGUGAGCUCUCUGGGAGUUUCUUCUGCCCGUGCUGAGAGGUCUUAGAGCAUUACACAUAGUCGUGCUUGGAAGGAUAAGAUUGUACCUCGUCCUCUGUGCGGGCACCCCCAUCGUAUAUCUUCUUGUUUUUGGUGUUGGACCCAAAGCCAGUGCUGGCCUUGAAGCCUCCAGGCUUGUAAGCAACACUGUGGCCCGAGGCAUGGUAAGAAACGGCUUUGUAGCUGAAAGAAAAAUAAACAUUCCGUGAUUGUAGAUGUCUUUGUUAGGAGGACCAACCUCCUAUUUACCCUAAACUGUCUCAGUCUUGGCACUGAAAGUCCAGUGUCCCUGGAAACCCGUCAGUCCGGGGCAAACCAGGAUAGUUAGUAACCCUAGUUUUUGGUACACUGGUUUUUCUGCCUCUGCAGUGGAACAGAAGUUCUUGCACUGUUUUAGAGCUUUGCUGAGCCGAGAACAAAAUCUCCUGAGAAUAAAACAAUUGUGAUUCCAAAUGGACAUUUUUGGAUGGUGGAGAGAGGUAUCCCCAAAUCCUCAGUAACUAAUGAGUUCCCUCUGUUAAUCAAUAAAAAUAAAGCUGAACCAGAAACAAUGUCCAGGGGAACACUGUUACGUCAAAGGAUCAUAGAAUUUGUGAGCUGGAGGGUACCUAUGUUCAGCCCAUUGCCUCAAGCUGCUCAUUUCAUGGAUGAGGUGAUAGAGGCACAGAGAGAGCAAAUAACCUGCUGGAGGUCACAGGGCUGGUCAGCAGCAGAACCACGCUGGAAUCCAGCUCUCCCCACACCAGUUCAAUUUAGGGAGUUACAGCAGAGUUUCUCAGCAGCAGCACUGUUGACAUUUUGGAACAGAUGCUUUUUUGUCGUGGGACAGUUCUGUGCACUUAGGGUGUUUAGCAGUAUCCCUGGCCUCUACCCGCCAGAGGCCAGUAUCACUUUCCCCCACCCUCCCAAAAUUGUAACAAUUAAAAAUGUCUUCACAUGUUGCCAAAUAUCCCCUGGGGGGCAAAUUGCUCCUAGUUGAGAACCAUGGAGUUACAAAACAAUCUCAGAAGGAACCAAGAAGGAAGGAUUUUUCUUUCAAAUAGGCUCACAUUUAAAUCAGUCUAGGCUGAAAUAUUCCCAUUCUGUUCUUUAGGUUCCCCCUAAAAGAGAAGCUUCGAUAAUCCUUAAGUCAAAUAAAGUUCAUCCAUAUACCUAAUUUUUUUUUUUUGGCUGCAAGUUAUACAUUAAAAUAGACCCUGAACAAAUAAAACAUCUGGUUGCAGCGGAGCAGGGAGACUCACUUGGUUUCUUCUGGUGCCAGGCCCCGGCAGGCGAUGCACAUCAUCACACCCCCAAUUAGUGUGAGGCCUCCAGCGACCCAGCCCACGAACAGAGCCGCACCAAAUGUGUACCUGGGUGGGGAGAUGGUGGCUGUCAAUAUGGUUGACUCAACUCUCCAGGGUCCGCCCACUGCACCUGGCUGUGCCUGUUCUUUCUGUCCCCACUUUUGGAUGCCACAUCCAUCCCUGCCCAUGCCCCUGAACACACAUUCCUGUGGGUCACAGCCAACUGAUCAGGUACCCUGGAGAGUAGAAUUGGGACUAAAGCUAGGGGGCAAAACAGCAGGGGGAUUCUAGCAUCACUCAACCAUAAAAUUAUAAAUCUUAUCUCUGUGACACAUCUCAAGAAAUCUCCCUCCCCCCUCUACUGGCAAAAGAAAGUGUCUUGAAGGUUUGGCAAGAGAAAUUUGAGAGAUAUAAAAUCAAUCUUGACUGGGUGCGGUGGUUCAUGCCUGUAAUCUUAGCACUUUGGGAGGCCAAGUUUCAACUGAGGUCGGGAGUUCAAGAGCAGCCUGGCCAACAUGGUGAAACCCUGUCUCUACUGAAAAUACAAAAAUUAGCUGGGUGUGGUGGUGCACGCCUGUAUUCCCAGCUACUCAGGAGGCUAAGGCACGAGAAUUGCUUGAACCUGAGAGGUGGAGGUUGCAGUGAGCUGAGAUUGUGCCAUUGCACUCUAGCCUGGGCAACAGAGGGAGACUCUGACAAAAAAAAAAAUCAAUCUCAAGUUAUUAUUUCUGAAGGAAUUUUAGUUCUUUGAGUUCUCAGUAUGGGCCAACAAGCAGUCAUCUUAACUUAUCUCAAAUAAUCCUUACAACCAUCCAUACAGGUAGAGCUAUUACCUUCAGAAGGAACUAAGUUGAAGUGACUAUUCAUUCUUUUAUUGAUGUCUUUACUUAUUUGUUCAACAAGUCUUUAUUGAGCUCCUACUAUGUGCAGAGCCCUGCCCUGGUACUGGGACACAGGGCGAACAAGGUAGACAGAGACCCUGUGCUCAUGGUGCUUCUGUUCCAGCUCACAAGAGAAUUCUAACUUGGGGUAGUCUGCCUCCAAAGCUGGUGCCCUUCGCCUAGGGGGGCUGCCUCCAAUGAGACUCAAUUACAUCAGAUCAGGAUUGAGAACAAAAUCUCCUGGGAAUAAAAUAAUUGUGAUCCCAAAUGGACAUUUUUGGAUGGUGGAGAGCAGUAUCCUUCAAGUGACCAAAAAACUGUUAGGAUGUCAGUGUGUAUUUUAAUGCCAGCUGAUAACUUGAUUUCCAGCUCCAUGAGCUCUGGAGAAAAGCAGAGCUCAGCAUGGAAAAGGAGUGCCUCCCCUUGGAAGUUUCCCUUUGUGUUCCUCAAAGAGCAUGGGGACUGUUUGUAGAACUCUAUGAAUUACUAAUAUGUUUAAAGUCUACGACACAAGCUAAGAACGUUAUACCAACAAUAUACCAACGUAACGUAACAAUACGUUACGUUGUUGGUAUAACGUAAUAUGUUAUAUGUGUAUAAGUAAUAUGUAUAAGUAAUAUGUGUGCAAACCUCUGCAACCUAAGAAAAUACAAUACUUUAGAUGUGCUUUAAAAGCACGCACAUUGGCUGGGUGUGGUGGCUCACGCCCGUAAUCCCAGCACUUUUGGAGGCCAAGGCAGGCAGAUUGCCUGAGGUAGGGAGUUUGAGACCAGCCUGGCCAGCAUGGUGAAACCCCGUCUCUACUAAGAAUACAAAAAUUAGCCAGGUGUGGUGGCAGGUGCCUGUAAUCCCAGCUACUUGGGAAGUUGAAGCAGGAGAAUUGCUUGAACCCGGGAGGUGGAGGUUGCAGUGAGCUGAGAUUGCACCAUUGCGCUCCAGCCUGGGCAACAGAGUGAGACUUCAUCUCAAAAAAAAAAAAAAGAAAAAAAAAGAAAAAAAAAGCACACACACUUUAGCAGGAUUAAAGUAAACAAUGUAAGCUUCAUGAUCAAGUAUAGUUGACUGAGCUCAGUCCUUGAAAAAGUUCUGGGAGAAAAUUUACCUGUAGGCUAUUUUUAUUUCCUUGGACUGGGAAAAAGACAGAAAUUUGGUUUAAAGGCUUCUGCCUUGGCAUGAAGAGCCCUGCCCCCUCAUCCUGCCCGGUGUGGCUGGGGCUGAACAGCGGAUCUUUUCCUGGGGCUCCUCCUAGGGGGGUCUCUAGGUGAUUUCCUGGUGACAGCCCUGGUCCGUGGGCCCUGACACAGACAGAGCCCCUGUCCUUGAUACCCCUAUGGAUGGUUGAGUGAUUGCUUAAUGCUAAUGAUGAUAACAACAAUUGCUACCAUUUAUUAAGCCCUUACUGAUAUUGUGAUAAGCACUUUUUACCAUUAUCUUGUUUAAUUCUCCCAAUAGCCACUGUGAUAGUAUUUGUCACUUGCAUUUUACAGAUGAAGAGAUUGAGGCUUAGCAAGGUUAAGUAACUUCUCCAAUGACCCAGGAAGGACACGAUAUCAUCAGGAUUCAAAUUCAGGUCACUUUGCCUUCAAAACUCUCAGUGUUAAUGCAUCUUCUGAGCAUGAGGGACAAAGUCCUUUUCCUCAACUUAGACACUCUGGGUCAAGGUUAGCAAACCUAAAUACUUACCUGGGACAGGCAAGAAACUUAAAUGAGUGAAGUGAGCUAGACAGAAGAACAUAUUUCAUUUUCUCAACUGUAAUAUAUGGGAAAAAUCCCUAUAAGCAUGAGUUGGGCUGUUUGGGCAUGGUGGAAAUUGUGGUAAACUGGACAGGGUGAGUCCUAGCCAAAAGGGCAGCUGCCUCUCAGCUGCAGAUGGCGGUCACGUGAGAAUGAGGGCCCAGUGUAAUGCUGCCAGAUCUUCCGAUUUUUUGCACAAAGCUAGAAAAGCAGAGUAUGUGUAUGUGUGUUGGGGGGUGAAGUCUCCUUGUAGUAGGCACUAGUGGUGCUCUACCCUUUAACCGUUUCUGUGGGUCUCUUCUCCAGCUUGUGUAUUCCUUUGCCUUUACCUGCUGGCCCCUGUGGCUGCCUCUGGAAUUCUGGCUUUGGUUUAGCCACUGAAGCCACUCUGCCCACAGGGACUGACUGGGGGGCCCAAGGUAUGAAAGCUCAGCUCUUUAGUUUGGAGUCGAGACAACUCUGGCGUAUAAUUCACACUGCACAGCUCUCCUCAGGAUCAGGCUGAGUCCAGGGCUUCACCUGAAAUCACGCCCAUGCUUGGCUUCCCUUCCUUCCCAUCCCUGCUUCCCUCACCCACUAACCCUCUCCCUUUUCUUAAUGAACUCUGGCACUGGGAUCCUCUUCUCAGGAUCUGUUUCUGAGAAACCCAGCCCUUAACCCUUCUAAUUUUUUUUUUUUGUUUUUUUGAGACGGAGUCUCACUCUGUCGCCCAGGCUGGAGUGCAGUGGCGCGAUCUUGGCUCACUGCAACCUCUGCCUCCCAGGUUCAAGUGAUUCUCCUGCCUCAGUCUCCCAAGUAGCUGGGACUACAGGUGCCUGCCACCACGCCCAGCUGAUUUUGUAUUUUCAGUAGAGACGGGGUUUCACCAUAUUGACCAGGCUGGUUUCGAACUCCUGACCUUGUGAUCCACCCACCUCGGCCUCCCAAAGUGCUGGGAUUACAGGCGUGAGCCACCAUGCCCAGCCUAACCCUUCUAAUUUUUAAAAGUUGGUAAUUGGUUCAGAUUAUAAAAUGAAAUGUUUUAUACAAAACACCUUGCAGACUGUGUACAGUGUGAGGGCAGGCAGUUUGCAGCUCUAGUCUGGGGCUUAGGCUCUGCCACUGUUACAUACAACACGGCAAUAACAGAGUCGGGGAACAGGAGAAGGAAGGGGGUCCCAGGACCAAGUGGGGCACUGGAACCAAAGCUCCAUCAAGGUUACUGCCAAGGUCUUUCCUGGCAGCUGGGCUGUCUUGUAAGACUUCUGGGUGGAGAAAAUGAGAAGACAAAAGAAAGGGGAAGACAGCUGCCCAUCCAUGGAGGGAGAAGUUCAGGAGGCCUUUCAGAAUUCUAUAGUCUUAAUUCCAGGACUGAAGCUCCCUGCCCAUGGGACAGGGGCCAGUGCUAGGGAGAUGGUGUGAGAGAGUGAUGGCAGGCAUUAGUGCUAAGUGCAAAGUGGCUGGUAGAUGGCUCCUCUGGGCAAGGGCAAUGACCCCAGGCACCCAAAUACUCUGGGAAAGGUGGGCUUUUCUAAGUAGGGUGAGCAAUCAUUCUGGUUUGCCCAUGAUAGAGGAGUUUCCCAGAAUGUGGAACUCGUAUUGCUGAAACUGGGAAAGUCCCAGGCAGACUGGAAUGAGUUGGUCAACCUACUUCUAAGUUGCACCUGUAACUAAGAGACCAUGAGAGGAACACAGAGUAGGAUCAGGGGAGUUUAUGGGGAUCACUUCCUUUACAUUCUUGAAAUAAAGCAGAAAAGUGAAUGGGGAUUGGAGUUCCAGGGAGCCAGAGGGUAAUGGAUUUAUCACACCCUCACUCUCCAUCUGUACCCCAUGUUGGUGUGGCUGGAAAAAUGCCAAGUGCAUGCAUCCAGACAUGACAGGUCACUGAGGUCUAAUAUUUAUAUUUCUUCUCAAGAACAAGAUCUUUCUUUUUCAGGAAUUUGCUCCAGCUUCUUGCUAUGAGAUAUAUCCCUUUAAAGUGACUAAAUGAAUACGGGCAUUGGUAUUGCUUUUCCAUCUUUUAAAAGUUCUACUGUCUUUCAGACGCCAAAUCGUAGUGGGGUUUCAUCUCCCUCUGCCAGACUGUACCCCCUGUGAGAGUGGGGACUUUGUAUCUCCAGCACUCUGAACAUGUCUUGGCUUAUGGCAGGUGAUCAAUACAUUUGUAGAAUAAAUGAAUUAAUGAAUGAGAGAAAGAGGCAGCUAUACCAGGAAGGAACAUCACUUUUCUCACCCAUACUGCCCCUUGCUAAUUUCUAUUCAAACAUUUCCCUGUUCCUAGCCAGCUUCCAGUUAUGGACGGUAGAUGUAAGUUGAUGUUCAUUUACUUGCCUGGGUUAAUAGUGCCUGUUUCAUUGCCACCACAAUGGGGCUUGUGUAAGAGUGUUAGAUAAAUACAAUGAACUGUCACUGUAUUUCAAUGCAAAUGUCAGAUCAGCCUCAAGUCAUAUCACCAAGGAUAUUUCACUGAAAUGAAGUUUAUGAAUUUACAGGUGAUUGUUGAUUUAUGAUAUGGCAUGGUUGUCUGAUAAAUUUUUGCUAUUUCAGGCACUGACAGUCACAUUAGGCGCAUGUGUUUAAUCAGAUUCUUAUAACAAUAUUCAUCAUGGUGAAUGCUGAGACCUAGAUUAGGAGGUUACCUGGUCUGAACAGUCUGCACCAUCCCACCCAUGCCGGUGUACAUGUUAGCUGUGGACAUCCAGAAGUUAGUCACCAGCAUGUUGGCAAACACAGACACUCCAGCAAUUGCACAAAGACCUGUGGGCAAAGAAAAAGAAAACUCCAGAGUUAGUUUCAAGGGAUUACAAUGUUUCUGAGGCAGUUUAUGCCUAGAUGAGUUUAGAUGAGUAGGCUGCAGAAUAUUGUAUCCCUAUAACCAAGCACUGAUUAUUGAAUUCUUGCUAUGUGCUAAAUAUUGUGAUAGGUGCUUAGAAUGUUUUAUAUCGCUAAUUGUGGAAGGAUAUGUGUGUGUACAGAAAUAAAUUUUUCAUGCAUCUUGGGACCAAGGCUCAAUAUUCCAAAUAUUUUCAGUCUGGUUCUUUGGUAAUGUCAAAGUAUCUUCCCUUAAAAUCACUUUCUAAAGCCUCACCAAGAAAAUGCCUUUUAGGGAUCAAGUCACAUGACUCUUUUAGGGUUGAGAACCUCUUUUUUUUCCAGCUGAAAUUAAGAGUCAAAAGCUUACUAAGUUUUUUUUUUUUUAAAUAAAAAAAAUUUCUUUUAAUCAACAUAGGGUGUCACAAUGCUGCCUAGGCUGGUCUUGAACUCCUGGACUCAAGUGAUCUUCCUGUCUUGGCCUCUCAAAGUGCUGACAUUAUAGAUGUGAACCACUGCACCCAGCUAAGAACCUCUUAUAUUGGGGUUGGAGUGACAGCUAAGAAGGACCUUGGCACUCAUGAUACACAAUUGGGCCUCCACACUCAGAUCAUGAAUCCCAGUAUGAAAAGUUCUGAACCACAUUCAGCAGUCGGGAGGAGUCAUGUUUUCUCUACCAGAAUGAUUUUGCUUUGACAUUCACAGAAGUGGGAACUCCAGGCUCUGUGUUUACCUGAGACAAUGAACAUGAUCCCGGAGGUCAGCGUCAUGUUGGCUUUGGCAGAGUCCUCCAUGCUGCCAAUACGGAUGCAUUUCAGGGCAAAGAUGGAUACCAGGAGGCCAAUGGCACCCAGGACAAUGCCUACGAUCAUCAGGGCUCGCACUGCCUGCAGCAUGGCUGUGGGACAAGGGGCAAGACACAAGCAGACAAAUAAGACCAGCUCAGCACACUUGAUUAGGCUCUGGUUUAAUAAAACAAAGCAACCACAACUAACCUGCACCAAACCUCUGAGAGACAGCAAAGUCCAUGAACUGUGAACCUUGCCAUUGUCAAAGGAUGUGGAAUUGUGGGAAAUACAAAAUACAUCGCUUACAAUUCUCUGACUGAUGAAGGACAUGCACUCAGAUGUCUUCAGAAUCAGAGAAUUAUGGAUGGUUGGAACUGGGGGGGGGCCUUGGAUUGUAUCUAUUUCAGCUUCUUGAUUUUUAAAGCUUGAUAAUCUGGGGGUCGGAAAGGGGAAAAUAGUUUGUCUAAGGUAAGAGUUCAGAUUGCUGAUAGAGCUUAUAGCUGUGACUUCUAACUCAAAUAUUUUUCUUCUCUUGUGCUUCCAUAUGCGCCAAGAGUUUCACAUAGUUGUGUCCACUUUAGGAAACCCAGAAUUCAUUUAUAGCAUAUGAUGAAACCAAGGUUGCUAAGUGAUAUACCAAGGAUACUCAAUGUUGUCCCUUUCCAAAAGGAACUACUAAGAUUAUGGUGAGCUGUAGGUUUCAGAUGUAUAUAAAACAAUAUAACAAUAUUGGGCCUUUCAACUAGACUACAGUUUAUCAGCAGUUUCCUUUCUAGGAAUCAGUCAUAGCUAUAGGCCCUACAGGGACUCUACUGCAGUGCCCUCACCUCCAGAUAUAUCCAAAGUUGUUUCUAGUGCAUCCUUAAGUUGCAGUGACUCAUAGCAACAAUUGUUUACUGAGCCCCCCUGACUGGCCAUGGGAUGACAGUAGUUAACAACAGGUCAGACAUGGUCUCCGUUGUCAUGGAGCUUAUGCCAAAGUGGGGAACGACAGUCAUUAAGCAUGUCUAUUACAAGUAUAAUUAAUUUAACAAGGAAGACAAAUUAGUCCUGCAUGUGUUCCAGAAGACAAGCCCCCUAGUGUGGGUUGGUCUGGUGGAGCUGAACUGCAAAACUGUGUGGAGAUGCUUAUGUGCUAGACACCAAUUGUUUUAUCCCUCCAGUAUAUCCCCUUUUUUCCUCUUAAGUCCAUGAUUUCUGAAGGAGUUGUUGUGUCUUACAUCACUGCUUUUCAAACUACUUAAAAAUUUAAAUUUCCAAUCUGUCACAAAUUGACAUCCUGACAAAAUACAAAAUCACCUGCUCGAGUGUCACAGGCAUGUCAAAUUAUUAUAAAUGUUUAGAAAUAUUUAUUUUUGAUUUCGGUACCAGAACUCUUCAGGUGGGUAACACAUAGUUUGUGGGCCAGCUUGGUACACAGGCCCUACUUUGAGUAGUAAUAUUGACCUUGAUCUUUCAGGCCCAGACUUUAUACCUGGUGCCCUUGACCAUGGCAAAUUAAUCCAGCAUGGGCAUCUGAGUCAAACCGGGCGGAUGAGACCCUUAUACAGAAUGUUUGUGCUGGACACAGAGAGCAUCAGGCCAGUCUCUCUCCAGGGACUGAAAGUGUAAGAUGCUGUCCUGGGAGUCCAUGGUUUCCUUCAGGUGGUGAGCUGCUGUAUAACGGCAAGCAGAUGAAACCCAACAGUGAGGUAGAGGGCCCUGACAGUGUUUGAGCUCCUGACUCCAGCUUUUCCUAUGGUCCACAUACAUUCCUUCCUUAGGUUUCAGGUGCUAUCCCAGCACCAUUAUUAUUAUUAUUGUUAUUAUUUUUAAAUCCCUACCUGUUUGAACUAAUUCAGGUUGGGGUUCUGCUACUUGAAAUCAAGUGGUUCUAACUUAUGGAAGAUGGUUUCAUCAGUGUCUAGACAUGCUAACCUUUAAAGUCUUAUUGUUUUUGGAGAGUUUCCACCCCUCCAGAUUUGAAGUCAUGACCAGAGUGCUGCUGAAGACCCUUGCAGAUGUGAGGGGACCUCUCAUGCCAAGUCUUAUGGCUGCAAAGACAUCGCAUUCCACAGUGUGGUGUGCGAAGAGAAGAGGUAAAGGGCAUCAUUUUUCUUUUUUGGGAAAUUGCUGAUUUUUUUCCUAGUUAUAUAAGCAAUAACUGCUCAAUAUAAAAAUUUCAGGAUGUAUAGAAAACCAUAAACAGGAAAUGAAAAACAAUAACCUGUUAUUCCAACUCUUGGAGAUAGCCACCUUUAGCAUCCUGGUGGGUAGUUUUCCAGGAGGGAAUUUUUUAAAAAGGAGAAGCAAAACGCUAAUGAGGCUCCCCCUGUCACCUAGACCAAAGGGAGCAAGUCAGGAGCCAGCUAGAAAUGCAGAUGGAGACCUUGCUGAGUUUUAACUAGAAGGGGCUUGUGGGGUUACACUCAAAGGAGGUGUCAUUCCUACCCUCAGUGAGACCAGUUAAUAAUACCCAAGCCAAAUUAAAAUUUGGGAAUGGAGAAGAAACAGGAGAAAUGCUUAACACUUUUUUUCUCUUUGAAGGAGAUACUGAGGGAAUCUGCCUAUAGGGCUGUAGGCAAAGGGCUCAGAGGAAACUGUCAACAAAACAGAGAGUUCUGUCCAGCCCUAGUUUUCAUAGGCAGUUGCUACUUCUUAGUGAAAGCUAGUAAGGAAUUUUCAGACAUUCAAAAAUGUAGUCCAUGUGAAAAAAACCCCUACAAUGUAAGUAAUAAAAUUAUCACCCAUUUUAUGGUUGAAGAAAUGGAGACUCAGGUGAGGUAACUUGCCCAAGGACACACACCAAGGGAAAGGAGGCAGAGCUGGGAGUCAAAUCCAAAAUUGCCUCAAAAUCAUUACUUUUCCAUCACAGCACAUUGUUUUGAGGCACCUUAUUCUGGAAAAAGAGGUAAAGUCCUGGCUUCCAUCAAGGUACAAGGAUCUGUAUACUCUUACAGAAUGUAUCCUCCAAAUUUGGAGACUCAACCAUAAACUGUCAUCUUCCGAAAUGGAUGCUAAGAAUGUGGAAGAAAACAUUCUCCAAAUCUUCUUAGGGAAUAACCUGGCCUGGUAGAUUAUUUAUAAAUGUGACUCUCAAGAUGACAGCAUUCCCAUCUCCUCCAGCAGUCCUGGGAGAGAACUCUCUCCAGUCACCUUGGGAAGAUUUCCCUCUCCUACAACAGCUAACGUCAGUGGAGCUGCCAGUAUAUUCACUCUAAGGUGUGUAUGUAUCAUAAAGCAAUUUGUCAUGCCAGAAGAAUCGGCAAUCAAUGAGAAAUUUUGAAAAAGGAGAGUUAGAUAAUGUAGAACUUGUUAAAGUGCCACCUGCAAUGUCUGAGGAACAGAGGCCCUAGCAGCCUUCUCACCAGAUAUCUGUCUGAAGUAUGAAUGACAGUGUCCACCUAUUCUAGUUCUAUCCCACUGAUCUCCAUAUACUUGAUUCUGAUUCUCUUCUCCUAAAGAAACUUCUGAUUUUAACUUUGCUUCUUUGCUGGAAAGAGAAUUCUACAAACAAUGAUCAUCAGUCUUGGUCCCACUGGCAACUGUCAUGGGAGCCAGGUGCCAGUAAGUGGGAGGAAACUGGCUCCACUGCUCAUUGCCAGAAACCCCCUAAGUCUAGUAAUGACCAUGGAGAUUCAUGGUGGUAAACUCACCUUCCCCUGCACCUGCACGGUCUUACCCUCUGGGAUCCUAAUCUUCUCUAUAGAUAAGUAAGCAGAGAAAACUGCCACAAAGCAGGUAGCAGGUAGGUUUCUCUUUUAGCCAUUCUGUCUCUUACUUGAUAUUCUGAUCAAGAGGCUUAUCAGCUGAUAACAGGUGAGUCAACAGGCUCUAAAGCCUGAUUCCCUGCACCAAAGGUGUGACUACAGCAUUCUUCCCAAUGAACAAUGAAGUGUUAUCAGACCUGAAGGGUGGGCAGGAUUCAGGGCUGAAAGAAGCAAACAGAAAAAUGGGAACUCAGUGUUCCCUCCCUGUUGCAAAAUACCUUAAUUCCCCAAGUAGCUGUGAACUGACAGGUGAGGCGCCCUCAGGUGUGGUUUUUUCAAUACAGGCUGCACCUGAGCAUCUUCUGGGGGUGCUUUUAAAGAAAUGCUGAUGUUUGUUCUCACCCCCAGAGAUUUUCACUUAAUUAUUCAAAGCAAAAUUUCAAGGAAUAAUGCGAGACAACAGCUUUCAAGAAGGGCUCAGCAGAGGUACUCAGAGUGGAGAGUUGGGCUGAAAGAGGGUUCUCAGGGGCUGGCAUCACUAAGUGGAAGUGGGAGUGAGGAUGAUGGGACAGCAGUUCACCAGCAGCCAAAGGCCUGGACUGGGGCCCUGGUGGAGUAGGGGGAUGGGAGGAGCCAUACCUUCAGGCAUAGCUUGCUCCUAGACUGGAGAUAAGAGGGCUAAUGGAGGAGCCCAAAGUGGGGGAGCUCAGAAGAUGGUAGUCUGAGGCCAGACCCCAGAGGAAACGCUCUUGAGAAUAAGAUGGGAGAGGCUAGAUUCUCUGGAGAUUCCAGGGAAUCAACACGGAGGUCCUUUGUACCUUGUAAAAUUCUACAGAACAAUGCGAUACCAGGUGAGUGUUAUUAGGUAAGUCAUUUAAGCUCAAUGAAAAUGAGUCCUCAAUUCUGGAGGGAGUCAAAGAUAUCUCUUGCACAGAUCUGUGAGGAUCAGAUGCUAUUUGGCAUAAACCUAAGCCAGGCUCAAUAAAUGUCAGUUUCCUCUCCUUCCCUAAAAACAAUGUAUCCCUUGGCAACUCCACAAAGCUUUGACUUGUGCUAACUGUAUACAAAUGUGAAUCCUCUCACAUGAUGAUAAAAUAUGGUUGAGGAUUUGAAACAGCCAUGUGUGUGAAUUGCUAUGGGCAAGAGGGGAAGAAAAUUUGAAAAGAAGAAGAAAAGAAAGGCCUGAAUCUAGCAGCACCUAAGUAGUGGAGAAGAUUGGAAAAAUGGACACAAGACCCUCAAUGAGCAGGGAGGUAGCUGAUGGGAGAGGCAGUAUAGGUGGGUUUCUAUCCUCAUUGACCUUCCUCUUCACCUCUGCUAUGAUUUGAAUGUGUGUUUCCCUCCAAAAUUUAUAUAUUGAAACGUAAUCCUCAAUGCAAUACUACCACGAGGUGAAGUCUGCAGGAGGUACCCUCAGGAAUGACAUUAGUGCCGUUAUAAAAGGCCUUGAGGGAGCCUGUUUAUCUCUUUUGCCCUUCUGUCCCUUCUGCCAUAUGAGGACACAGCAAAAGGCACUGUCUUUGAAGAGCGUGAACCCUUACCAGAUGGAAUCUGCUGACACCUUGAUCUUGGACUUCCCAGCCUCCAGAACUGUGAGAAUAAAUUUCUGUUGUUUAUACAUUAUCCAGUCUAAGAUAAUCUUCUUAUAGCAGCAGGAACCAUCUAAGACAUCCUCUAAGAUGAGAUCCAACUACAACUCUGAUGAUGUGUCUCCCCACCAUGAAAUGAUGCUGCACCACUGACUAGGCCAUCCUAGGGCAUGAUGCUUUGUGGUAGCUGCCUCUGCCAUCUAAUUGGGGACCACCACAGCCGCAAGCUGAGCAGGCAUUCUGGUUCCUAGCUUUUCUCAUUGAGCAGUCAGGGCAAGCAGCCCCAUUUACCUAAGCUGCAGGUUCUCUUGAGCUGUGUAGGCCCAUUCUGAGUUCCCCGUGGUGUCUUCUUCAUAUGUACAAUAACAUGUUAACAUUUAGAUGUUUGUCCACAUAUUUGAAGAGGCAUGCUGAUGCUGAAAUAUUUUUCUCUUUUGAAGAGAGGGAAAGCAGUUUGACUGAAAACCAAUAGACUCCCCAACUUUAUAACUAACUUAUAAUCACUUCACCUUCUAGGGCUGGUUUCUUCUACCGGAAAAUGGGGAAAGACAAACUGGUUUCACAACCAGUGAAACCAUUCAGCCAAUAGCAAGAAAUAAACAGACAAGCUCCUUUAAAAAUGAUACUUAUGAGAAGUCUCAUUUUUUUCCCUUAUGGAUUUUUGAUUUAGAUUUUGUGAAGGUUUUGUGAAACUGUUCUCUGGAUUAAAUGUGGUUUGGUUUAAAACUU
Molecule: RNA transcript, 34787 nt
Organism: Pongo pygmaeus (Bornean orangutan)
Lineage: Eukaryota; Metazoa; Chordata; Mammalia; Primates; Hominidae
Gene: DZIP1L
Gene name: DAZ interacting zinc finger protein 1 like
Exons: 19
Source: RefSeq, a predicted model, not a curated record